UGGGGAAUAUUGGACAAUGGGCGCAAGCCUGAUCCAGCCAUGCCGCGUGGGUGAAGAAGGCCUUCGGGUUGUAAAGUCCUUUUGUUGGGAAAGAAAUCCUGUCGGCUAAUACCCGGCGGGGAUGACGGUACCCAAAGAAUAAGCACCGGCUAACUUCGUGCCAGCAGCCGCGGUAAUACGAAGGGUGCAAGCGUUACUCGGAAUUACUGGGCGUAAAGCGUGCGUAGGCGGUUCGUUAAGUCUGUCGUGAAAGCCCUGGGCGCAACCUGGGAAUUGCGAUGGAUACUGGCGAGCUAGAGUACGGUAGAGGAUGGUGGAAUUCCCGGUGUAGCGGUGAAAUGCGUAGAGAUCGGGAGGAACACCUGUGUCGAAGGCGGCCAUCUGGACCAGUACUGACGCUGAGGCACGAAAGCGUGGGGAGCAAACA
This 427-nucleotide ribosomal RNA is filed under the name uncultured bacterium. RNAcentral describes it as "bacterial SSU rRNA". It matches the Rfam family "Bacterial small subunit ribosomal RNA", at positions 355 to 774 of the family's 1533-position model. The record is from RNAcentral.